This 253-nucleotide ribosomal RNA is filed under the name uncultured bacterium. RNAcentral's name for it is "partial 16S ribosomal RNA". It matches the Rfam family "Bacterial small subunit ribosomal RNA", at positions 524 to 776 of the family's 1533-position model. The record is from RNAcentral.
UACGUAGGGUGCAAGCGUUGUCCGGAAUUAUUGGGCGUAAAGAGCUCGUAGGCGGUCUGUCACGUCGGACGUGAAAAUCCAGGGCUCAACCCUGGACCUGCGUUCGAUACGGGCAGACUAGAGUUCGGUAGGGGAGACUGGAAUUCCUGGUGUAGCGGUGAAAUGCGCAGAUAUCAGGAGGAACACCGGUGGCGAAGGCGGAUCUCUGGGCCUUGCCUGACGCUGAGGCGCGAAAGCUAGGGGAGCGAACAGG